RNAcentral lists this unclassified non-coding RNA (331 nucleotides) under soil metagenome. RNAcentral describes it as "partial contains 5.8S ribosomal RNA, internal transcribed spacer 2, and large subunit ribosomal RNA". The stretch from base 1 to 120 matches the Rfam family "5.8S ribosomal RNA", at positions 35 to 154 of the family's 154-position model. The record is from RNAcentral.
GAUGAAGAACGCAGCGUAAUGCGAUAAGUAAUGUGAAUUGCAGAAUUCAGUGAAUCAUCGAAUCUUUGAACGCACAUUGCGCCCCCUGGUAUUCCGGGGGGCAUGCCUGUUCGAGCGCCAUUUCACCACUCAAGCCUCGCUUGGUAUUGGGCAACGCGGUCCGCCGCGUGCCUCAAAUCGACCGGCUGGGUCUUCUGUCCCCUAAGCGUUGUGGAAACUAUUCGCUAAAGGGUGUUCGGGAGGCUACGCCGUAAAACAACCCCAUUUCUAAGGUUGACCUCGGAUCAGGUAGGGAUACCCGCUGAACUUAAGCAUAUCAAUAAGCGGAGGA